GACGAACGCUGGCGGCGUGCUUAACACAUGCAAGUCGAACGGAAAGGCCCUGCUUUUGUGGGGUGCUCGAGUGGCGAACGGGUGAGUAACACGUGAGUAACCUGCCCUUGACUUUGGGAUAACUUCAGGAAACUGGGGCUAAUACCGGAUAGGAGCUCCUGCCGCAUGGUGGGGGUUGGAAAGUUUCGGCGGUUGGGGAUGGACUCGCGGCUUAUCAGCUUGUUGGUGGGGUAGUGGCUUACCAAGGCUUUGACGGGUAGCCGGCCUGAGAGGGUGACCGGCCACAUUGGGACUGAGAUACGGCCCAGACUCCUACGGGAGGCAGCAGUGGGGAAUAUUGCACAAUGGGCGGAAGCCUGAUGCAGCAACGCCGCGUGCGGGGUGACGGCCUUCGGGUUGUAAACCGCUUUCGCCUGUGACGAAGCGUGAGUGACGGUAAUGGGUAAAGAAGCACCGGCUAACUACGUG
This 468-nucleotide ribosomal RNA is filed under the name uncultured bacterium. Its description in RNAcentral is "partial 16S ribosomal RNA". It matches the Rfam family "Bacterial small subunit ribosomal RNA", at positions 28 to 507 of the family's 1533-position model. The record is from RNAcentral.